This 469-nucleotide ribosomal RNA is filed under the name uncultured bacterium. RNAcentral describes it as "bacterial SSU rRNA". It matches the Rfam family "Bacterial small subunit ribosomal RNA", at positions 34 to 498 of the family's 1533-position model. The record is from RNAcentral.
CGCUGGCGGCAUGCUUUACACAUGCAAGUCGAACGGUAACAGGGAGCUUGCUCCGCUGACGAGUGGCGAACGGGUGAGUAAUAUAUCGGAACGUACCCAAGAGUGGGGGAUAACGUAGCGAAAGUUACGCUAACACCGCAUACGAUCUAAGGAUGAAAGCAGGGGACCGCAAGGCCUUGUGCUCCUGGAGCGGCCGAUAUCUGAUUAGCUAGUUGGUAGGGUAAAGGCCUACCAAGGCAUCGAUCAGUAGCUGGUCUGAGAGGACGACCAGCCACACUGGAACUGAGACACGGUCCAGACUCCUACGGGAGGCAGCAGUGGGGAAUUUUGGACAAUGGGCGCAAGCCUGAUCCAGCAAUGCCGCGUGAGUGAAGAAGGCCUUCGGGUUGUAAAGCUCUUUUGUCAGGGAAGAAACGGGUGUGGCUAAUAUCUGCAUCUAAUGACGGUACCUGAAGAAUAAGCACCGGCU